CCUACGGGAGGCUGCAGUCGGGAAUAUUGCUCAAUGGAGGAAACUCUGACGCAGUGACGCCGCGUAUAGGAAGAAGGUUUUCGGAUUGUUAACUAUUUUCGUUAGGGAAGAUAAAUGACUGUACCUAAGGAGGAAGCUCCUGCUAAAUAUGGGCCAGUAGCCUCGGUAAGAAAUAGGGGGCAAGCGUUAUCCGGAUUUACUGGGUGUAAAGGGAGCUUAGAGGGAAAGGCAAGUCAGAAGUGAAAACCCAAGUCUCAACCAUGGGACUGCUUUUGAAACUGUCAAACUAGAGUACGAGAGAGGUAAGAGGAAUUCCUAGUGUAGCGGUGAAAUGCGUAGAUAUUAGGAAGAACACCAGUGGCGAAGGCGUCUUACUGGACCGAAACUGACGUUGAGGCUCGAAAGCGUGGGGAGCAAACAGGAUUAGAUACCCCUGUAGUC
This 441-nucleotide ribosomal RNA is filed under the name uncultured bacterium. Its description in RNAcentral is "partial 16S ribosomal RNA". It matches the Rfam family "Bacterial small subunit ribosomal RNA", at positions 338 to 795 of the family's 1533-position model. The record is from RNAcentral.